CCCGCAGAUACCCUAAGUCUGUGUUGUAAAGAGCAUAACUCUCUCUACAAAAUUCCAAAUUGAGUGAAACCAAUUUUGUAUGAAAGCUAACUCAUAGGGCUAUGUUGGGUAAUAUUUUCAUAAUUUUUCGAUUGCUGGUUCAAUACCAGAAUCAUUUGCAAGUUCAUUCUGUUUCUGCCCGCAAACACCCUAGCAACCUGUGUUGUAGAGAGCAUAACUUUCUCUAAAGAAUUCCGAAUUGAGUGAAACUAAUUUUGUAUGAAAGCUAACUCAUAGGGUUAUAUUGGAUAAUAUUUUCAUAAUUUUUGGGUUGCUGGUUCAAUACCAGAACUAUCUGCAAGUUAACUCUAUUUUUGCUCGCAGACACCCUAACAGCCUGUGCUGUAGAGAGCAUAACUCUCUCUACAGAAUUCCAAAUUGGGUGAAACCAAUUUUGUAUGAAAGCUAAAGUAUAAGGCUAUGUUUUGUAAAAUUUUCAUAAUUUUUGGAGUGCACGUUUAGUACCGGAAUUAUCUGCAAGUUUGCUAU
This 528-nucleotide long non-coding RNA is filed under the name Lotus japonicus. RNAcentral describes it as "long non-coding RNA (LJAP_LNC002180)". The record is from RNAcentral. Lineage: Eukaryota; Viridiplantae; Streptophyta; Magnoliopsida; Fabales; Fabaceae.